This 258-nucleotide ribosomal RNA is filed under the name uncultured bacterium. RNAcentral describes it as "partial 16S ribosomal RNA". It matches the Rfam family "Bacterial small subunit ribosomal RNA", at positions 524 to 776 of the family's 1533-position model. The record is from RNAcentral.
UACAUGGGGUGCAAACGUUGCUCGGAAUUAUUGGGCGUAAAGCGCACGUAGGCGGUUCGUUAAGUCGGAUGUGAAAGCCCUCGGCUCAACUGAGGAAGUGCACCCGAAACUGGCGAGCUUGAGUACGAAAGAGGAUCGCGGAAUUCCCGGUGUAGAGGUGAAAAUUCGUAGAUAUCGGGGAGGAACACCGGGUGGCGAAGGCGGCGAUCUGGGUCGAUACUGAACGCGUGAGGUGCGAAAGCGUGGGGAGCAAACAGG